GUGGGGAAUAUUGCGCAAUGGCCGCAAGGCUGACGCAGCGACGCCGCGUGUGGGAUGAAGGCCUUCGGGUUGUAAACCACUGUCGGGAGGGGCGAAUACCUGGCUUCGAAUAGGAGACCAGGGGUGACGGUACCUCCAAAGGAAGCACCGGCUAACUCCGUGCCAGCAGCCGCGGUAAUACGGAGGGUGCAAGCGUUGUCCGGAAUCACUGGGCGUAAAGGGCGCGUAGGCGGCUUGGUAAGUCAUCUGUGAAAUCCCGGUGCUCAACGCCGGGGCUGCAGGUGAGACUGCCUGGCUAGAGCUUGGUAGGGGCGAGUGGAAUUCCCGGUGUAGCGGUGGAAUGCGUAGAGAUCGGGAAGAACACCAGUGGCGAAGGCGGCUCGCUGGGCCAAUGCUGACGCUGAUGCGCGAAAGCGUGGGGAGCAAACAGGAUUAGAAACCCUUGUAGUCC
RNAcentral lists this ribosomal RNA (451 nucleotides) under uncultured bacterium. Its description in RNAcentral is "bacterial SSU rRNA". It matches the Rfam family "Bacterial small subunit ribosomal RNA", at positions 354 to 796 of the family's 1533-position model. The record is from RNAcentral.